This is a long non-coding RNA of Crotalus tigris (Tiger rattlesnake), 1224 nucleotides long. RefSeq lists it as uncharacterized. The record is from RefSeq and is a predicted model, not a curated record. The transcript is spliced from 4 exons. Lineage: Eukaryota; Metazoa; Chordata; Lepidosauria; Squamata; Viperidae.
GCUAAGGAAAAGGGGGAAAAAAAUGAUGGACUGCGUUGUUUGGCGACCCCCGUGAAAUGGUCAUCGACCCCAAAUGGGGUCCUGACCCACAGGUUGAGAACCACUGUCAUAGAGUAAGAUAAGGCUUGGAACAAGAUAAGAUAGGCCCCACAGUAAUGAUUUAAAACAAAGCUUUAACUCAAACUGUUUCACUAUAUAGAGGAAUUAUUUGUAAUUUGCUAAGCUGUUGCAAUAUGUGCAAUAUGAAAUUGCAAAGUAGAUAGUUUUACAUAUAUAUUUAGAACAUGAGCAUUGUAACCGUGGGAAAAGAGGAACUGAAAGUAACAGAUGGAUGAAGGUUUCAGAUGUACACGGGUGUAUGUGGAAAUUGCUGGUCAGCACGAAAGAACAAGGAACAGAUUUUGCAAGAUAAUGAUUAUCUGUGGGUGGUCAUUAGAAUAAAAGUAUCAAAAUGAUAGCUCAAGACUAGCUCCGGGCCAUUGGCCUAUAGCUAUCCUUCGGAGUGCUGUGUCAGUGGACCUCAUUGCAAUGGGUUAUUAAUUAUGAAUCUCUGAGCAUAAAACUUUCCUCCUAAAGUACUUCAUGAAGAAUGGUGGAAGCAAGGGACAUUUCUCAAUGGGAAAAUGGAGAGGAGGAUUUGAUUUCUCAGAGUGGAGCAUAAAUGUGGACAAAGUUACACAAGGCCACACUGCUUGGACUCAUACAUAUAAUAAUCCAAUACAUUAUGAUAUUCUGGAAAUCUUCAGUAUGAAUGAAGGACAACACCAGCUAAAGAAGGGACAGCUAUGAUAUCACAUUGUGAUGUAUAUAAUGAAAAUAAUAAUGUAUGAUAAUGAUCCUACUUAUAUCUUCAUGGACUGCAGAAGGCAUCUUGUUACUGAGUUUAUUAAUCAACCUUUUAUUGCAAAUAAAGCAGCCUGAAAAUGUAUUGCAAAAAAGGAAUUUAUUUUAUUCCCUUUGGGCAUUUCUUUGUCUAAGCAGCUUUUCAUACCCUGUCUCUUUGAACCAUCACAAACUAUGUGUAUUAGUUCAGUGGAUUCACAAUUUGAUUUACUGAACAUCGCUGCUCUGGUAUUGUGGGUACACAUUACUCUUUAUAUGACUACGGGGUGUAUUUUUGGUCAUUUGUUAAUUAAUUAAUUAAAUUUAUAUAGCCACUCAUUUCAUGUGACAUGUGACUUUAGGCAGCACACACAGUUAGAACUAAGCAAUCAAAACAAUAAA